GAAUUAGCUUAAUGGUAGAGCAUCAGCCUCGCAUGCAGAAGAUCCGAAGUUCAAUACCCAGAAUCUCCA
Non-coding RNA from Podarcis lilfordi (Lilford's wall lizard), 69 nucleotides. Lineage: Eukaryota; Metazoa; Chordata; Lepidosauria; Squamata; Lacertidae. The record is from the annotation of a GenBank genome assembly.